AACGAACGCUGGCGGCAUGCCUAACACAUGCAAGUCGAACGAAGGCUUCGGCCUUAGUGGCGCACGGGUGCGUAACGCGUGGGAAUCUGCCCUUUGGUUCGGAAUAACAGCUGGAAACGGCUGCUAAUACCGGAUGAUGACGAAAGUCCAAAGAUUUAUCGCCAGAGGAUGAGCCCGCGUUGGAUUAGGUAGUUGGUGGGGUAAAGGCCUACCAAGCCGACGAUCCAUAGCUGGUCUGAGAGGAUGAUCAGCCACACUGGGACUGAGACACGGCCCAGACUCCUACGGGAGGCAGCAGUGGGGAAUAUUGGACGAUGGACGCAAGCCUGAUCCAGCAAUGCCGCGUGAGUGAUGAAGGCCCUAGGGUUGUAAAGCUCUUUUACCCGGGAAGAUAAUGACUGUACCGGGAGAAUAAGCCCCGGCUAACUACGUG
This 433-nucleotide ribosomal RNA is filed under the name uncultured bacterium. Its description in RNAcentral is "partial 16S ribosomal RNA". It matches the Rfam family "Bacterial small subunit ribosomal RNA", at positions 29 to 507 of the family's 1533-position model. The record is from RNAcentral.